AUUUAUAGGGGAGGGGGAGGUGGAUGCUAAGGGGCUGUUUGGUUGGAUGUAGUUGCAGAAACAGUGUAGUUGAAAAUACAUGCAGUUGUAAAUAUUGUAGUUGUAACUAUACUUAGUUUGUUUGGUUUUACGCAGUUGCAAUUGCUGCAGUUAUAUUUAUUUUGUUUGGUAAUAUGAAGCUGAUAGUUGUAUUUGUGAAUUUUAUCACAUUUUCAGAGAGAGUGGUGAGAUUACCUUCACUAAAUAUAAAAUAAUUGUAUAAGUUUAUUAAUCAUUUAAAUUUACUAUUUAUAAAUAAAUAAGUAGAUAUAUAUAAUAUUUUUCAACUUAUUAAUCGACACAUUUAAAAUUUUUAAUUUAUUUAAUUUUAAUAUGUAAAUCAAACUUUAAAAUUUAAACGAUUCUCUCAUUUUUUUUUAUCAAAUUUAAUAAUUAUAAUUAAUUAAAACUUAUUAAAUUAACAUACACGAUCACAUUCUAUAAAAAUUUUUUUAAAAAACUAUAUUUAUAUUUUAAAUAAAAUAAAUUUAAAAAAUUUAAUUUUUUGCACAAAGCUUGUAUUGUCUAAAAAAUUUUAUUAGUAUGAAUUUAUUUGCAAGUAUUUUUAUUUACCUAUAUACAUAUAUUAUUUAUUUAUUUAGCUAUUUAUUUAUUUAUUUAUUAUUGUUAAUUUGUGGAUGAUUCUAUCUCUCACCAACUGCUGCAGUUGGAACUACGGCCAAUUUGGAUGUAGUUCCAACUGCAGCAUUUGGACCUUCUUGUGUAGUUAGAAUUGCAGCAGUUGAAUUCAACUAUACUAAACCAAACAAAGGAAUUAAGGCGGCUGCACGCAUUUGCAAAUGCGUGCAACCAAACAGCCCCUAAGUUAGUAAACAAGGGAGGAGAGUGAGAUGUGAAG
This 898-nucleotide long non-coding RNA is filed under the name Ananas comosus (pineapple). Its description in RNAcentral is "long non-coding RNA (ACOM_LNC031835)". Lineage: Eukaryota; Viridiplantae; Streptophyta; Magnoliopsida; Poales; Bromeliaceae. The record is from RNAcentral.